RNAcentral lists this ribosomal RNA (200 nucleotides) under uncultured bacterium. RNAcentral describes it as "partial 16S ribosomal RNA". It matches the Rfam family "Bacterial small subunit ribosomal RNA", at positions 29 to 259 of the family's 1533-position model. The record is from RNAcentral.
AGCGAACGCUGGCGGCAGGCCUAACACAUGCAAGUCGAACGAUCCUUCGGGAUAGUGGCGGACGGGUGAGUAACACGUGGGAACGUGCCUUUUGGUUCGGAACAACUCAGGGAAACUUGAGCUAAUACCGAAUGUGCCCUUCGGGGAAAGAUUUAUCGCCAUUAGAGCGGCCCGCGUCUGAUUAGCUUGUUGGUGAGGUA